AUUUAAAUCAAGUAAUAUCACAAAUGUCAACUUGUCAUUCAAAUAGAGUCAAGUAUUCGUCAAUUACAUCUCGCUCCAUUGAUUCUGUAAUCACGUGGUGUCAAAUUUGUAUAUGCUCGUUCGGCUCCAGAUUUUUCAAACCGAAACACCUUGUGAAUAGUGAUAUUUUACAUAAUGUGCACUGUCAACUGUCAAAGUUCCAAAAUUGACAGGUGUGGUGUAUUCAGGUGUAUACGUUUAACGGUUUUUGUUUUGAAUUUUUGCAGAAGUGACUGGAUAAAUUGUGAAUAUUGGUAUAUAUUCCUAUUUUUGUGAAAAUGCUUCCUGGUGAGAGCGAUGGUCGUAAUAUUUCGAUCAAUUCAUCUGGGUCUUCCACAAAAAGUGAACCUGUUCAAAACUGUAGGAGAAAUUUGCAAAAUAAUUUUGAAGAUGUAAACCCAACAAGGAGCACACCCGCUGAUAGGUCAGUUUUAUCAACCUUGUCUUUGAAUGAUAACACAAGAAAAGUGUUGAGAAACGGGGCCGAGAGGCUCUCAAAAACUUUCAAUACAUUUCGUACAGCUAUAGGCACUAUGACUCAGAGGUUCAAAAUAUCAACCAAAAGAAGACAAAUUCUCGAAGAAGGCCCUGUGACUCCUAAUUGCACUACUCCUUAUUCGAAGCAAGUUUUAGGCAGAACACCUACAAAGCUGUAUAGUCCAUUCAGUAUUGAGAGUCCUUACAAUCCCACCACUUACGAUAAAAAAAACAUUCCUUGAUUUUAUUUUAUAAAUUAUCAGAAUCAGUAUUUUUUCAUUUAGCAAUUCUUUGGUGAAGAAACAUAUCCGAUCUUAGAGUAUUGCAUACAAUUUUCCAGCACUUGUCUAGCUAGUAGCUUUAGCCUGUUAUGUAGUUUGUUACUUUAAUAUUUUUUUCAUACAAAUUCAUAAUUCAAAUGCUCUUUUGUCUUCUCAAUAUCCCAUGAACUAUAUUUUUGAUUACUUCAAUAUAAAGUUGUGCAGGAAGCUGUCAAAACAAUAAAAUUGAGAUAAUGAAAAUAAUGAAAAUCUAAUGAGGCAAUAGUAAAAGAACAGACCUGAGAAUUAUUAAAAAUUUUUGCUAGUGUAUAGUAACUUUGUAACAGAUAUGCUUUCAGUAUUUAUUUGAAGUCGUACAGUUGCUUUGAAUCCCUCACAUAUUCAGGAAGGUAAUUGUGAAUUUUUGGACCAGAAUAAGUUACUUUUAAUUUUGCAAUUUUCACAUAUGGAACUGGUUUUUGAUUCUUGUAUCGAGGUGGUGAAAACUCUUAUCUAAUGAAAACUUUGACUUAUUUUCAUGUGAAAUUUGACUCAUUUUCAUGUAAAAUAUAAAAAAUGACUUAUUGAAUGUUGAAAUUUAAUUGUUCAUCCAGUAGUAAUUAAUAAACUAUAAUUCGUUGAUACGAAUUAUAGUUUAAUGACUUAACUAUCUGAAUUGAAAUUUAUAUCAGAAACAGCAUCCAUAAGACUUACAAAUUCUCUCUAAUCACUUUCAACAUGCUUCUCUGCAUAUUCAAAAUAUCUUUUUAGAAUUAAUUAUAGUCAAAUAACUAUUGAGAUAACCAAUAAGUUAAUGUAUGCUUUAUGAAGACAAUUAUAUUUUAAUGAAAAUAUCUUUUCAAUAUUAUUCUUCACCAACGGAAUGCUACUCAAAAUGAAUGACAUUUCAUUUGUAAAUACUCACUGUACUGUUUGUUAUCAGUAUUAUUUUUGCAUUCGACUACUGUAUACAAUUUUCUAACUGCUCAAAUUAUAUUUAAAGAUUGUAUUGAUGAGAA
Long non-coding RNA from Leptinotarsa decemlineata (Colorado potato beetle), 1795 nucleotides. The record is from RefSeq and is a predicted model, not a curated record. NCBI's taxonomy places the organism in Eukaryota, Metazoa, Arthropoda, Insecta, Coleoptera, Chrysomelidae.